RNAcentral lists this long non-coding RNA (135 nucleotides) under Phasianus colchicus (ring-necked pheasant). Its description in RNAcentral is "lncRNA (ENSPCLG00000013911.1)". The record is from RNAcentral. Lineage: Eukaryota; Metazoa; Chordata; Aves; Galliformes; Phasianidae.
GGGGUCAGUAGGGCCAUCAAUGGGGUCAGUGGGGUCAAUGGGGUCAGUGGGGCCAUCAAUGGGGUCAGUGGGGCCAUCAAUGGGUUCAAUGGGGUCAAUGGGGUCAGUGGGGCCAUCAAUGGGGUCAGUAGGGCC